This 56-nucleotide transfer RNA is filed under the name Dipodomys ordii (Ord's kangaroo rat). It matches the Rfam family "tRNA", at positions 8 to 63 of the family's 71-position model. Rfam says of the family: Transfer RNA (tRNA) molecules are approximately 80 nucleotides in length. The record is from Rfam by way of RNAcentral. Lineage: Eukaryota; Metazoa; Chordata; Mammalia; Rodentia; Heteromyidae.
UAGUUUAGUGGUAGAGUGCAUGUUUAGCAUGCAUGGGGCUGUGGGUUCAAACCCAC